RNAcentral lists this long non-coding RNA (430 nucleotides) under Setaria viridis. Its description in RNAcentral is "long non-coding RNA (SVIR_LNC004765)". Lineage: Eukaryota; Viridiplantae; Streptophyta; Magnoliopsida; Poales; Poaceae. The record is from RNAcentral.
GACAAACACAAGAUAGAGGGGGAAUUAUAUUUCAUUGGAAUGUAAAAUGUUUACAUGGAUUUGUCUCAUUAAAAACCUUGCCUCCAGUGUGGCGCCCCCUAGCAAGGAAAAGAGUAUGGUCUGUUCGCGGAAAAGUAAAUAUGAUAAAGUAAAUUUGGUGCCCUCGACGUUGUUUAUAGAUUCACAACUCAAAGGCUUGUGGGUGUAGUGACUAUGGGUAAUACUUGCGCCAGCUAUCCACAUUCUUGCUCCAAGCUAAUCUGUGAGGUAAAAGGAUCCUAGCCUAUUGCUUCGAGUGACAACAUAUGGCCCUUCUCAAGUUUCUUGCAACUUUCCGAGGUUCUCCUAGUUUUUUCUCUUUUUUAUAACCAGGUCUCCCACCUUGAUUUCUUUUUUGACUACCUUCUUAUCUCUCCACUUUCUUGUUUCU